CCUACGGGUGGCAGCAGUGAGGAAUAUUGGUCAAUGGGCGCGAGCCUGAACCAGCCAAGUAGCGUGAAUGAUGACUGCCCUACGGGUUGUAAACUUCUUUUAUAAAGGAAUAAAGUGAUGCACGUGUGCCUUUUUGUCUUUACUUUAUGAAUAAGGAUCGGCUAACUCCGUGCCAGCCGCCGCGGUAAUACGGAGGAUCCGAGCGUUAUCCGGAUUUAUUGGGUUUAAAGGGAGCGUAGAUGGGUUGUUAAGUCAGUUGUGAAAGUUUGCGGCUCAACCGUAAAAUGGCAAUUGAUACUGGAAGCCUUGAGUACAGAUGAGGUAGGUGGAAGUCGUGGUGUAGCGGUGAAAUGCUUAGAUAUCACGAAGAACGCCGAUUGCGAAGGCAGCCUACUAAACUGCCACUGACAUUGAUGCGCGAAAGUGUGGGUAUCAAACAGGAUUAGAUACCCUUGUAGUC
This 460-nucleotide ribosomal RNA is filed under the name uncultured bacterium. RNAcentral describes it as "partial 16S ribosomal RNA". It matches the Rfam family "Bacterial small subunit ribosomal RNA", at positions 338 to 795 of the family's 1533-position model. The record is from RNAcentral.